GUGAGGAAUAUUGCGCAAUGGACGAAAGUCUGACGCAGCCAUGCCGCGUGAAGGAUUGACGGCCCUAUGGGUUGUAAACUUCUUUUGUAUAGGAAUAAACCCUCGUUCGUGAACGAGGCUGAAGGUACUAUAAGAAUAAGCACCGGCUCACUCCGUGCCAGCAGCCGCGGUAAUACGGAGGGUGCAAGCGUUAUCCGGAUUUAUUGGGUUUAAAGGGUCCGUAGGCGGAUCGUUAAGUCAGUGGUGAAAUCCUACCGCUCAACGGUAGAACUGCCAUUGAUACUGGCGAUCUUGAGUAUGUAUGAAGUUGGCGGAAUGUGUGGUGUAGCGGUGAAAUGCUUAGAUAUCACACAGAACACCGAUUGCGAAGGCAGCUGACUAAUACACAACUGACGCUGAGGGACGAAAGUGUGGGGAUCAAACAGGAUUAGAAACCCGAGUAGUCC
This 446-nucleotide ribosomal RNA is filed under the name uncultured bacterium. Its description in RNAcentral is "partial 16S ribosomal RNA". It matches the Rfam family "Bacterial small subunit ribosomal RNA", at positions 354 to 796 of the family's 1533-position model. The record is from RNAcentral.